GUAACCCCUGGUUGACAAUCUAUUGUCUAUAGCUUUCUGUUCACAUUGGUAGGUUUUUUCUGUGCUGCAAUUACGUUUGGCUCUGAUUAAUUCACCAGUGGGAAUAGCUUUCAAAGUAUGUUUAGGAUGGAAUGUACCUGCAUGAAGAAUUGACCUUGACUCUAAGGCCCCU
Molecule: long non-coding RNA, 172 nt
Organism: Bufo bufo (common toad)
Lineage: Eukaryota; Metazoa; Chordata; Amphibia; Anura; Bufonidae
Exons: 4
Source: RefSeq, a predicted model, not a curated record